GACGAACGCUGGCGGCGCGCUUAACACAUGCAAGUCGAGCGAUAACCAUGGCUUCGGCUAUGGGGAGAGCGGCGAACGGGUGAGUAACACGUGAGCGAUCUGCCCUCGACACUGGGAUAGCCCGGGGAAACCCGGAUUAAUACCGGAUAGCCUCUCGGGCCCACGGGCUCGUGAGAAAAGAUAGCUUCGGCUUUCGGUUGAGGAGGAGCUUGCGGCGGAUUAGCUUGUUGGUGAGGUAACGGCUCACCAAGGCGACGAUCCGUAGCUGGUCUGAGAGGACGAUCAGCCACACUGGGACUGAGACACGGCCCAGACUCCUACGGGAGGCUG
This 330-nucleotide ribosomal RNA is filed under the name uncultured Actinomycetes bacterium. Its description in RNAcentral is "bacterial SSU rRNA". It matches the Rfam family "Bacterial small subunit ribosomal RNA", at positions 28 to 351 of the family's 1533-position model. Lineage: Bacteria; Bacillati; Actinomycetota; Actinomycetes. The record is from RNAcentral.